UUAAUUAAAACCAAAAUAGAGGUAUAUCACUGUUAAUGAUAAAAUUGAGACUAAACUCUAAUUAAA
Molecule: transfer RNA, 66 nt
Filed under: Cordylepherus sp. YY-2021
Lineage: Eukaryota; Metazoa; Arthropoda; Insecta; Coleoptera; Melyridae
Description: tRNA-Asn
Source: RNAcentral